This 494-nucleotide ribosomal RNA is filed under the name uncultured bacterium. Its description in RNAcentral is "partial 16S ribosomal RNA". It matches the Rfam family "Bacterial small subunit ribosomal RNA", at positions 28 to 507 of the family's 1533-position model. The record is from RNAcentral.
GACGAACGCUGGCGGCGUGCUUAACACAUGCAAGUCGAACGGUGAAGCGCCUUCCUUUUUGGUGGGUGUGGAUGAGUGGCGAACGGGUGAGUAACACGUGAGUAACCUGCCCCCUUCUUCUGGAUAACCGCAUGAAAGUGUGGCUAAUACGGGAUAUUCUGGGUCUGUCGCAUGAUGGGUCUGGGAAAGAUAUUGUUUCGGUGGGGGAUGGGCUCGCGGCCUAUCAGCUUGUUGGUGGGGUGAUGGCCUACCAAGGCGGUGACGGGUAGCCGGCCUGAGAGGGUGGACGGUCCCACUGGGACGGAGCGACGGCCCAGACUCCUACGGGAGGCAGCAGUGGGGAAUAGUGCACAAUGGGCGCAAGCCUGAUGCAGCGACGCCGCGUGAGGGAUGGAGGCCUGCGGGUUGUGAACCUCUUUUGCCAGUGAAGCAGGCCUGCCUCGUUUGUGGGUGGGUUGACGGUAGCUGGAUAAGAAGCGCCGGCUAACUACGUG